GACGAACGCUGGCGGCGUGCUUAACACAUGCAAGUCGAACGAAAAGGCCCUGCUUUUGUGGGGUGCUCGAGUGGCGAACGGGUGAGUAACACGUGAGUAACCUGCCCUUGACUUUGGGAUAACUUCAGGAAACUGGGGCUAAUACCGGAUAGGAGCUCCUGCUGCAUGGUGGGGGUUGGAAAGUUUCGGCGGUUGGGGAUGGACUCGCGGCUUAUCAGCUUGUUGGUGGGGUAGUGGCUUACCAAGGCUUUGACGGGUAGCCGGCCUGAGAGGGUGACCGGCCACAUUGGGACUGAGAUACGGCCCAGACUCCUACGGGAGGCAGCAGUGGGGAGUAUUGCACAAUGGGCGGAAGCCUGAUGCAGCAACGCCGCGUGCGGGAUGACGGCCUUCGGGUUGUAAACCGCUUUCGCCUGUGACGAAGCGUGAGUGACGGUAAUGGGUAAAGAAGCACCGGCUAACUACGUG
This 468-nucleotide ribosomal RNA is filed under the name uncultured bacterium. RNAcentral describes it as "partial 16S ribosomal RNA". It matches the Rfam family "Bacterial small subunit ribosomal RNA", at positions 28 to 507 of the family's 1533-position model. The record is from RNAcentral.